This 203-nucleotide long non-coding RNA is filed under the name Homo sapiens (human). RNAcentral describes it as "HSALNT0380180". Lineage: Eukaryota; Metazoa; Chordata; Mammalia; Primates; Hominidae. The record is from RNAcentral.
UGGGAACACCAAGGGCAUGGCAGCAGCAUCUGGUGGGGUUCUGUGCUACAUUACCCCAUGGUGGAAGGGCAGAGGGCAGAGGGCAGAAGAGGAAAGGCAGAAGAGAAAGACAGCAUGGGAGACAGCAAGAAAAUGGAGGCCAAAACUUAUCCUUUUAUCAGGAAUCCACUCCCACAGUCAGUGGCUCCUGAAUAGCUUCCAGC